Molecule: transfer RNA, 84 nt
Filed under: Planctomycetota bacterium
Lineage: Bacteria; Pseudomonadati; Planctomycetota
Also listed under: 1 other name
Description: Planctomycetes bacterium (activated sludge metagenome) tRNA-Tyr
Rfam family: tRNA
About the family: Transfer RNA (tRNA) molecules are approximately 80 nucleotides in length.
Source: RNAcentral
GGGCGCGUACCAAAGUGGCCAACUGGGCCAGACUGUAAAUCUGGUGGCGUAAUGCCUACGAAGGUUCGAAUCCUUCCGCGCCCA